RNAcentral lists this ribosomal RNA (452 nucleotides) under uncultured bacterium. RNAcentral's name for it is "bacterial SSU rRNA". It matches the Rfam family "Bacterial small subunit ribosomal RNA", at positions 335 to 799 of the family's 1533-position model. The record is from RNAcentral.
ACUCCUACGGGAGGCAGCAGUGGGGAAUAUUGCACAAUGGGCGCAAGCCUGAUGCAGCAACGCCGUGUGAGUGAAGAAGGUUUUCGGAUCGUAAAACUCUGUCCUAAGGGAAGAAACAAAUGACGGUACCUUAGGAGGAAGCCCCGGCUAACUACGUGCCAGCAGCCGCGGUAAUACGUAGGGGGGCAAGCGUUAUCCGGAAUCACUGGGCGUAAAGGGUGCGUAGGCGGCUUAGCAAGCCAGGGGUGAAAGGCAUUGGCUCAACCAAUGUAAGCCUUUGGAACUGUUAAGCUUGAGUGCAGGAGAGGUAAGUGGAAUUCCUAGUGUAGAGGUGAAAUUCGUAGAUAUUAGGAGGAACACCAGUGGCGAAGGCGACUUACUGGACUGUAACUGACGCUGAUGCACGAAAGCGUGGGGUAGCGAACAGGAUUAGAUACCCUGGUAGCAGAGAG